CAAAAUAUUAUUAGAGAUAUGGAGAUCCAGUGGGGACGGUUAGAUGCCGGAAUUGAUAUCAAUCGUCAACGUCGAUCAGUUCAGCGUCAUCAUGACAUCCGCAUUCAGCAUCUUCAAGCAUCUUUAAGAUCUGGAAGAAUUCCUACACGCUGCAGUGAAUCGGGAUCUUCAUGAUUCAAUAUUUUUAAUUUUAAAUGAUAAUCAACGUGAACAGCUACCAAAUAUUGGCAAUAUUGAAC
Long non-coding RNA from Microplitis demolitor, 239 nucleotides. RefSeq lists it as uncharacterized. Lineage: Eukaryota; Metazoa; Arthropoda; Insecta; Hymenoptera; Braconidae. The record is from RefSeq and is a predicted model, not a curated record. The transcript has 3 exons.